This 245-nucleotide ribosomal RNA is filed under the name uncultured bacterium. RNAcentral describes it as "partial 16S ribosomal RNA". It matches the Rfam family "Bacterial small subunit ribosomal RNA", at positions 524 to 768 of the family's 1533-position model. The record is from RNAcentral.
CACGUAGGUACCGAGCGUUAUCCGGAUUUACUGGGCGUAAAGCGCGUUCAGGCGGCUUGACAAGUCGGGCAUGAAAUCCUUCGGCUCAACCGGGGGAGGUUGUCCGAUACUGUCGGGCUGGAGGGCAGUAGAGGGUGGUGGAAUUCCGGGUGUAGUGGUGAAAUGCGUAGAGAUCCGGAGGAACACCAGUGGCGAAAGCGGCCACCUGGACUGUACCUGACGCUAAAACGCGAAAGCUAGGGGAG